GAUGAACGCUGACGGCGUGCCUAAUACAUGCAAGUCGAGCGAAUGGAUUAAGAGCUUGCUCUUAUGAAGUUAGCGGCGGACGGGUGAGUAACACGUGGGUAACCUGCCCAUAAGACUGGGAUAACUCCGGGAAACCGGGGCUAAUACCGGAUAACAUUUUGAACCGCAUGGUUCGAAAUUGAAAGGCGGCUUCGGCUGUCACUUAUGGAUGGACCCGCGUCGCAUUAGCUAGUUGGUGAGGUAACGGCUCACCAAGGCAACGAUGCGUAGCCGACCUGGGAGGGUGAUCGGCCACACUGGGACUGAGACACGGCCCAGACUCCGACGGGAGGCAGCAGUAGGGAAUCUUCCGCAAUGGACGAAAGUCUGACGGAGCAACGCCGCGUGAGUGAAGAAGGCUUUCGGGUCGUAAAACUCUGUUGUUAGGGAAGAACAAGUGCUAGUUGAAUAAGCUGGCACCUUGACGGUACCUAACCAGAAAGCCACGGCUAACUACGUGCCAGCCGCCGCUGUAA
RNAcentral lists this ribosomal RNA (515 nucleotides) under uncultured bacterium. Its description in RNAcentral is "partial 16S ribosomal RNA". It matches the Rfam family "Bacterial small subunit ribosomal RNA", at positions 28 to 523 of the family's 1533-position model. The record is from RNAcentral.